Molecule: ribosomal RNA, 403 nt
Filed under: uncultured bacterium
Lineage: Bacteria
Description: partial 16S ribosomal RNA
Rfam family: Bacterial small subunit ribosomal RNA
Source: RNAcentral
GACGAACGCUGGCGGCGUGCCUAAUACAUGCAAGUCGAACGCAGUGGGGACGGGUGAGUAACACGUGGGUAACCUCCCAUCAGAGGGGAUAACACUUGGAAACAGGUGCUAAACCGAUACUGAUGGAUGGACCCGCGGUGCAUUAGCUAGUUGGUGAGGUAAUGGCUCACCAAGGCGACGAUCCCUAGCUGGUCUGAGAGGAUGAUCAGCCACACUGGGACUGAGACACGGCCCAGACUCCUACGGGAGGCAGCAGUGGGGAAUAUUGCACAAUGGGCGCAAGCCUGAUGCAGCCAUGCCGCGUGUAUGAAGAAGGCCCUAGGGUUGUAAAGUACUUUCAGUCGGGAGGCGUUACCGACAGAAGAAGCACCGGCUAACUCCGUGCCAGCAGCCGCGGUAAUUC